AUACGGAGGAUGCGAGCGUUAUCCGGAUUUAUUGGGUUUAAAGGGUGCGUAGGCGGUCGGGUAAGCGUAGGGUGAAAGUCCUCUGCUCAACAGAGGAAGUGCCUUCCGAACUGUCCGACUGGAAUGCUCCUGCCAUGGGAGGAAUGUGUGGCGUAGCGGUGAAAUGCAUAGAGAUCACACAGAACACCGAUUGCGAAGGCAUCUCACGAAGGGGCUAUUGACGCUGAGGCACGAAAGCGUGGGGAUCAAACAGGAUUAGAUACCCUGGUAGUCCACGCAGUAAACGAUGAUGACUAACCGUCGGUCAAGACUGAUCGGUGGCCAAGCGAAAGCGAUAAGUCAUCCACCUGGGGAGUACGACCGCAAGGUUGAAACUCAAAUGAAUUGACGGGG
RNAcentral lists this ribosomal RNA (393 nucleotides) under uncultured bacterium. RNAcentral describes it as "partial 16S ribosomal RNA". It matches the Rfam family "Bacterial small subunit ribosomal RNA", at positions 523 to 918 of the family's 1533-position model. The record is from RNAcentral.